GUGUCAGCAGCCGCGGUAAUACAGAGGGUGCGAGCGUUGUUCGGAAUUACUGGGCGUAAAGCGCGCGCAGGCGGCUUUCUAAGUCCGUCGGUCAAAUGCCGGGGCUCAACCCCGAGCGUGCCGAGGAUACUGGGAGGCUGGAGACAUGUAGAGGCAAGCGGAAUUCCGGGUGUAGCGGUGGAAUGCGUAGAGAUCCGGAAGAACACCGGAGGCGAAGGCGGCUUGCUGGGCAUGGUCUGACGCUGAGGCGCGAAAGCGUGGGGAGCGAACAGGAUUAGAUACCCUGGUAGUCC
RNAcentral lists this ribosomal RNA (293 nucleotides) under uncultured bacterium. RNAcentral's name for it is "partial 16S ribosomal RNA". It matches the Rfam family "Bacterial small subunit ribosomal RNA", at positions 505 to 796 of the family's 1533-position model. The record is from RNAcentral.